UCUUUUUUAUUAUACUUAAAUCAUUCCCGCCCUGGGUGGAAUUAAUUAACAACGACGCCUGACAAUAAAAUGCUUUUGUUACAACCAGGAAUCGAACCUGGCUUCACGCACUUGCAACACCUUGUCCUUACCACUUGACCAUCUCGCCUACCCUUGCUUUAACUCUUUUUUAUUAUACUUAAAUCAUUCCCGCCCUGGGUGGAGUUAAUUAACAACGACGCCUGACAAUAAAAUGCUUUUGUUACCACCAGGAAUCGAACCUGGCUUCACGCACUUGCAACACCUUGUCCUUACCACUUGACCAUCUCGCCUACCCUUGCUUUAACUCUUUUUUAUUAUACUUAAAUCAUUCCCGCCCUGGGUGGAAUUAAUUAACAACGACGCCUGACAAUAAAAUGCUUUUGUUACAACCAGGAAUCGAACCUGGCUUCACGCACUUGCAACACUUAGCACUUGACCAUCUCGCCUACCCUUGCU
This is a non-coding RNA of Paramuricea clavata, 477 nucleotides long. The record is from the annotation of a GenBank genome assembly. NCBI's taxonomy places the organism in Eukaryota, Metazoa, Cnidaria, Anthozoa, Malacalcyonacea, Plexauridae.